GAUGAACGCUGGCGGCGUGCCUAAUACAUGCCAGUCGAGCGAACAGACGAGGAGCUUGCUCCUCUGACGUUAGCGGCGGACGGGUGAGUAACACGUGGAUAACCUACCUAUAAGACUGGGAUAACUUCGGGAAACCGGAGCUAAUACCGGAUAAUAUAUUGAACCGCAUGGUUCAAUAGUGGAAGACGGUUUUGCUGUCACUUAUAGAUGGAUCCGCGCCGCAUUAGCUAGUUAGUAAGGUAACGGCUUACCAAGGCGACGAUGCGUAGCCGACCUGAGAGGGUGAUCGGCCACACUGGAACUGAGACACGGUCCAGACUCCUACGGGAGGCAGCAGUAGGGAAUCUUCCGCAAUGGGCGAAAGCCUGACGGAGCAACGCCGCGUGAGUGAUGAAGGUCUUCGGAUCGUAAAACUCUGUUAUUAGGGAAGAACAAAUGUGUAAGUAACUAUGCACGUCUUGACGGUACCUAAUCAGAAAGCCACGGCUAACUACGUG
RNAcentral lists this ribosomal RNA (497 nucleotides) under uncultured bacterium. RNAcentral's name for it is "partial 16S ribosomal RNA". It matches the Rfam family "Bacterial small subunit ribosomal RNA", at positions 28 to 507 of the family's 1533-position model. The record is from RNAcentral.